This 327-nucleotide ribosomal RNA is filed under the name uncultured eukaryote. RNAcentral describes it as "partial 18S ribosomal RNA". It matches the Rfam family "Eukaryotic small subunit ribosomal RNA", at positions 1470 to 1796 of the family's 1831-position model. The record is from RNAcentral.
CCCUUAGAUGUUCUGGGCCGCACGCGCGCUACACUGAUUCAUGCAACAAGUUUUGUCCUUGGCUGAUAGGCCUGGGUAAUCUUUGAACGUGAAUCGUGAUGGGGAUAGAUGAUUGCAAUUAUUCAUCUUCAACGAGGAAUUCCUAGUAAACGCAAGUCAUCAGCUUACAUUGAUUACGUCCCUGCCCUUUGUACACACCGCCCGUCGCACCUACCGAUUGAAUGGUCCGGUGAAAUCUUCGGAUCUGAGAGAUGUCUGAUUAAUUUCGGACGCCUUUUGGAAAAGUUGUUUAAACCUUACCAUUUAGAGGAAGGUGAANUCGUANCA